Molecule: long non-coding RNA, 205 nt
Filed under: Elaeis guineensis (African oil palm)
Lineage: Eukaryota; Viridiplantae; Streptophyta; Magnoliopsida; Arecales; Arecaceae
Description: long non-coding RNA (EGUI_LNC040682)
Source: RNAcentral
CUUACACCGCAAUCUAUAUGCAUCUUGUGCUCUCCAUCCCAACCAUCUAAACUUUUUCGCUUGCAUUGCUUGUGCCAAGGUCUAGCAAUGCUGAUGAAACAGCAAUUGAAGGCAUCUAAUAUAUGGUGCAUAACUGAACUUUAUAUUGCCACAGUGUUCCUACAUUGAAGUAUAAAUAACAAUUUAUUGUUGUUCAUAUAAGGGA